Molecule: ribosomal RNA, 440 nt
Filed under: uncultured bacterium
Lineage: Bacteria
Description: partial 16S ribosomal RNA
Rfam family: Bacterial small subunit ribosomal RNA
Source: RNAcentral
CCUACGGGAGGCAGCAGUGGGGGAUAUUGCACAAUGGGGGAAACCCUGAUGCAGCGACGCCGCGUGAGUGAAGAAGUAUCUAGGUAUGUAAAGCUCUAUCAGCAGGGAAGAAAAUGACAGUACCUGACCAAGAAGCCCCGGCUAACUACGUCCAAGCAGCCGCGGUAAUACGUAGGGGGCAAGCGUUAUCCGGAUUUACUGGGUGUAAAGGGAGCGUAGACGGUUAUGUAAGUCUGGAGUGAAAGCACGGGGCCCAACCCCGGGACUGCUUUGGAAACUGUGUAACUGGAGUACGGGAGGGGCAGGCGGAAUGCGUGGUGUAGCGGUGAAAUGCGUAGAUAUCAGGAAGAACACCGACUGCGAAGGCAGCCUGCUGGACUGAAACUGACGUUGAGGCACGAAAGCGUGGGGAGCAAACAGGAUUAGAUACCCUUGUAGUC